This 403-nucleotide ribosomal RNA is filed under the name bacterium. RNAcentral describes it as "partial 16S ribosomal RNA". It matches the Rfam family "Bacterial small subunit ribosomal RNA", at positions 355 to 776 of the family's 1533-position model. RNAcentral also lists the same sequence under 1 other name. The record is from RNAcentral.
UGGGGAAUAUUGCACAAUGGGAGAAACCCUGAUGCAGCGACGCCGCGUGAACGAAGAAGGUAUUCGUAUCGUAAAGUUCUGUCCUAUGGGAAGAUAAUGACAGUACCAUAGAAGAAAGCUCCGGCUAAAUACGUGCCAGCAGCCGCGGUAAUACGUAUGGAGCGAGCGUUGUCCGGAAUUAUUGGGCGUAAAGGGUACGCAGGCGGUUUAAUAAGUCGAAUGUUAAAGAUCGGGGCUCAACCCCGUAAAGCAUUGGAAACUGAUAAACUUGAGUAGUGGAGAGGAAAGUGGAAUUCCUAGUGUAGUGGUGAAAUACGUAGAUAUUAGGAGGAAUACCAGUAGCGAAGGCGACUUUCUGGACACAAACUGACGCUGAGGUACGAAAGCGUGGGGAGCAAACAGG